This is an RNA transcript of Drosophila pseudoobscura, 3889 nucleotides long. It is a transcript of the gene named Tubulin tyrosine ligase-like 4A, with no coding region annotated. The record is from RefSeq and is a predicted model, not a curated record. Lineage: Eukaryota; Metazoa; Arthropoda; Insecta; Diptera; Drosophilidae. The transcript is spliced from 12 exons.
UUCAUUAGUUCAAUUUUUUUUUUCAUAGUGUGCGGAGUUUUUGAUUUAUAGAAUUUUGGAAAAAAACGUUACUUACAGAGCAUUUAUUAAACAAAAAUAUUGAAAAUUAGUUACAAUUUCCUACAGACUUUUCUUUAGUGUCGAAUAAUAUAAUUUAGGUUGGAUCUGCAACCUUGUUUAAAAUAUAUGCUAUUGACCUAUAUACAUACACAUGUAUAUAGAUGAGUGGAGUGCCUAAAAGAAUUACCACAGCAAGCAAAAGCGCGGUGUCUAUCAAAGUUCUUCCACACGGUGUCACACAGCAAAAGAUAAGGUCACAUAUUUGCAAUCAAGGGAAAAAAAUAUGCGCAUAAAACAUACAUGUAUUGAUUUACGGCAUCAAAGGACAGACUAUUGCUCGUACGUGGUUAUGUACACGUUUUCUUUCGCCUCAUAACUAUAUGACUACAAUUCGACAUGCAUAACAAAAGCGAUUAUUACUUGACAAAUUCAAAUAACAACAAAAGUACCAAGAAAGAAAAAUCAGUACCACAUUACAGUAGUGCGGACAAUACAUUUAAUUAUUACAAUAACGCAAACGUAAGUGGUGCCAGCUGGAGCCGGCAAAAUCAAAAUCUGCCAUCAAAUCAAGAAUCUACAAAGGAGGCCGUUCUCAAGAAUAUAUCUAGAUCGAACUACCGUCAGACACCUGGCCAUUGGGGCCUCGAUUCUGCGUGCUGUGCUGCCGAUCAACGAAGUAAUAUCGGUGUGGCGUUAUCAAACAAGAGUCGAGGAUACAUCUACCAGCCAGUUCGUCAAGCAGAAGAAUAUUUAAAUGGUACACAGCACAACAUGCGAGACUAUAUCGCCGGCAACGAUGAGCCAAGGGUGCUAAAAACAGAUAUUUUCGCGGAACAGGAACAAAAGAACUGGAAAGCAAGAACAACUCGUAGAACUGAUUAUCUGGAAAAUAUCCCAGAUAGAGAUAACGUCCAGAAUUCUCCAUCGCCAGAACCAACAUGGGAAUCUAUACUAUCAGAAGCACCUACGCCGUAUCUUACGACAAGCCAGCACUACGAACACUAUUUUUCAUAUUUUUAUAACCGUGGAACUAAAACAGUGUCGAAUCUUCCGUCAGUCACAAGUAACCGAAAACUGCCAAUGACUGAAUUUCAAAACUCCCCAGGUCGACGAGACCCUCGGGAUGUUAAUGCGACCACUGCCGGUCAAAGAGAACCAUCAAAGAACGUUGGUCGUAAUUCGCCAUUCGAAAAACACGUGCUAAAGGAAAAAUUACCCAGUAAUUAUUUGUCUGUCGAUUAUAGCGACAAUGGCUGGGCAGAAGCUGUAGAUUAUCCUGAAUCUUUGCUGAAGAAGACUGGAGAAGAAUAUCUGGAUAUAAAAGAUUUAUAUGACUCUGAGGCUAUUGUAGAAACUCAAUUCGAUCCUAAACAUCGUCGCUUUAGAUUGUCUGAGAAUAAGCGAGCUGAUUCAGCUAAUAACAACAAUGAAAGUACGGAAAAACCUUUAGAUCAGAAGCCGCCACGUUUGCCUGUGAAUCAAAAAAAAACCAAAGGAACCACAUCUUCCGUUAAAAAGUCAUUGACCACGGUUCACAAAGUCUUGUUGUACAGUACCCAAAGUCCGCGAAUGGGGCGCAAGCAACAGUUCGCGACACAUCGAAAUUUAAACGCGAAAAACCAAAUCUCCAAGUCACUGGGAGCCGAAGACGAGUUUCCCACAGUUCUAUUAGUUGAUCCUGAAUCCAAAGAUGAAGUCUUUCGAAGUCAUGUAGACUCCGAUCGGAAUCCUGAUUUCGAAGAUGACGACGACUUGGACAAUAUUUCAAAUUUCGACGAAAGUGACACUGAAAGCUUGAUCUCCGACGCUGAAGAUGGCUACCGGGCCCAUGCUUAUAAGCUUACGCAUUCCGUGGAUAGAUUUACAUCACCCCAAAGCACACCAAGUUUGUUGUCGGAUCAGUCUUCUGAAUCUGACCUUAAGAAUCCAGACUCGCUCUUGGUACCCAGUUUAUUUCCCUACGUACCACCGUAUUUGUCGUUCUCAUCGAACACAACAAAGGGUCCAAGGGUUCCGCCGGAGCUCCAUAGAGUGCUCAAGUGGCGGGUUACCAACAUAAUGCCUAAAGUUGUGCGCCUGAUUCUAGCCAACAGCGGAAUGCGAAUGUUAAAGAAAACCAACGAUUGGAUGGGAGUGUGGGGCAAGCAUUUAAGGUCGCCUUGUUUCAAGACCAUCCGUUCAUAUCAGAAAAUAAACCACCUGCCAGGCUCCUUUCGCAUAGGAAGAAAGGAUUCCUGCUGGAAAAACUUGCAAAGGCAGAUGACCAAGCACAGCAACAAAGAGUUUGGCUUCAUGCCACGAACAUACAUUAUCCCCAACGAUCUAUGUGCAUUACGCCGGCAUUGGCCAAAAUACUCACAGCGCAAUACUAAGUGGAUUAUCAAGCCACCGGCCAGUGCGCGAGGGGCUGGUAUUCGCGUGAUUAAUAGAUGGGGACAGAUCCCAAAGCGAAGACCACUUAUCGUGCAAAAAUAUAUAGAGCGUCCACUACUUAUUAAUGGUAGCAAAUUUGACUUGCGUCUGUAUGUGCUCGUUACAUCCGUAAACCCGUUGAGAGUUUUCAUGUAUCACAACGGCCUGGCUCGAUUCGCUUCAGUAAAGUACAGUUCCAGGGCAGACACUUUAGGCGAUAGGUGCAUGCAUUUGACAAAUUAUAGCAUCAACAAGUUCUCUUCUAAUUACUCAAAAAAUGAAGAUGUAAAUGCCUGCCAUGGUCAUAAAUGGACCAUAAAGUCUCUGUGGACAUAUUUAGCUAACCGAGGGGUCCGAACGGACUGUCUGUGGGAAGCCUUGAGAAGUUUAGUUCUGCGGACCAUUCUAGCUGGCGAGAAUGGUAUAAAUAGUAUGAUUAGAGCAAACGUUGAAUCAAAAUACAGCUGCUUUGAGCUGUUUGGCUUUGAUGUAAUUUUGGACUCAGAUUUAGUUCCGUGGCUAUUAGAAGUUAAUAUAUCUCCAAGUUUACACUCUGAAUUGCCAUUGGACUCCCAUGUCAAGGCCCCCCUUGUACAAGGUGUGCUAAACACGGCACUGUAUAACGUGCCUCCAAAACUGACUCAAGAGAAGCAAAAAGAGCUAGCUGCCGAACUCUCUUUUCCAAGUGGCACACCAAUGUGUUACGAUAAGCGACUCUACAUAAACUAUUUAUCUCGCGAAGAGAAGGAAAAGCAUAACACAUUCACACGAAAGUCGAUGGACGAUAGGAAUGAGUACAUAGACGCAAUUCUGCAUAAAUUAACUCCUGAUGAUGUACGAUGUCUCAUCAUUGCGGAAGAUGAGUUGGCACGAUGCGCACCCCUAGAACGUAUCUUCCCAACUGAUCAAACUCAUAAGUACCUAAAAUACAAUGAUACCCCACGAUACUACAACCGUCUGUUAGAUGCCUGGGAGUCGCGCUACGCAAACAAUCGUGCGGAGGGCAUCGCAUUGUUACGAGAUUAUUGUCAAAACAAAUAUCAUCUCCAAGUUCCAACAUCUCCAAACAAAAAGGUCUCGAACGAUAAAUGUGAACCACUAACUGUCAAGACUGUAAUUUCUUUAGGAGAAGAAGAAAACUAAUGCUUAAAAUCAAAUCUCCCUUAAAUUCGCAUAAAGAACGUCGUGAAAAGAGCAUGGCCUAUCAAAAACACCAACAAAACCCCUGGCUUUCCAUUAGAACAAAUACCGUUUGGCCCAUUAUAAAUUUAACCCUAUUUGGAAAUUUAAUGUUAAGGUUUAAAAGGUAGUCAAUGUGUUCGGCCUCUAAGAAAUUAUAUAUUAUGUAAGACAAUUAGUAAACGCUAAAUAAGAGUGAGUUAUUAAAAUUAUAUGUUAUAUUUCUAUAUGGAUUAUA